ACUGUUUUUAUUGUAUUUUUUUUAUCAAAUAAAUGAGACUUGUGCUUAAAAACAUAAAACUGACUAAAACUUUAUUAUCAUUAUUAUUCAUUUAUUUAUUAACCUUAUUUUAUUUUAAUGAAGUAAUGUUCUGAAUUUACCUUGUCGUCAAGUGUGGUAAAAUGUUUAGACUCGGAUACUGUAGCUUAAAUGAUGAUAAAGUGCCAUGAUGAAGACUUGAUUUGUCAAAAAGUGAAUAGCUACUGGUUUGACCUCAGUAUUCAUUCACGGAAGAGAGAAUGUUGCUGAUUGCUUUUGAUAUCAGCAUAUCGAAUGAAGUGCUGAUGAGCAUGCGAUUUACAGAACGGCCUUUAAUAGGUAACCUUGUCCCUCCAGCUGUCAGGGGAAUUCUGUGAACAAAAACAGUUCUCCUAGCUCUCUCUCUCUCUCUCUCUCUCUCUCUCUCUCUCUCUCUCUCUCUCUCUCUCUCUCUGGGUCUAGGGGAGCAGACUGGUUCUCAUGUCCUUGAGGUCUGUCAUGUUGGCAUCUUAAUUUUUCUUAGAUUUUUUGUUUGUUUGUUUUUCCUCUCUGUUGUUUGUCAACAUUGUUUUGUAUUCGUUUUGGUGUAUGGUCGUAAGGCACCCAACUUGACAGUCGUCUCAACAGGAAGAAGCGGAGUAGGUUCAUGCAAGGAGAAAGAAAGAAAGUGAUGCAAGUUUGGAACAACAUGAGAGACAGAAGCGAAAGAGAACGAGAAGGAAGAAGUUUAGCUCCACUGGGAGCAAGUGGGAGAAAAAGAGAGAGAGCAAACCCUCGAGUUCAUCAAUGUGUUUCCAAUCUUUACUGGCAGGGUGAGUUUAAGAUUGAAUCAAUGCGAGGAAAAAUAAAAAUAGAGGUAGACUGUUAUUUACCGAGUAAGGUGCCAUUCGAGCAUAAUGCAUUUUUGUGUUUAAAAACACAUUUAAGUUAAACUUUUUAAUUUGAGCGCCAUUUUUUUAUUAUUCAGGUUCAUGCACGGGACACAGCAAAAGGCUUUGGGCACGGCCCGUGUUUCUGGACCACCCUAAUAGUUCCAAUAAAGUGUUUGCACCUACAGUGCGUCACAGCUGGGUCAGUUACCCAGAUGCGUGGCCAUAUUGGAGAUAUUCAGAUGAAAACAACAGUAAAGGAUGUGAUAUUCUGACAAACUAAGGUUAAUAGGUGGUAAAUAUCCAUACGAGCUGGCUCGUUUGUUGUGGACUGACGACCCGACAGUUCUUUCUUCUAUUUUUAUCCCAACAUAAGCUGUUUCCAUUACACUUCAAAUUGUGCAAACUGAAAUUGCAAUUUAAUGUUUUAUAACCUCAAAGAAACAGCUCAUAUGUGGCUGCUUUCAAGUAUGAAGGGCUUUCCUUGCCAUUAAUGCUUGGAUAACCCCUUAUUUACACUGCAGCUCUGACAUGGCCACUGGAGCUGAUUGCGUCCACGUUAGUCAUUGCUUGUGUUUAUAGCAGCCACGUGCUUCAGCAUGUUUCAGAAGCGUCCCAGAAGCAUCUAUCUGCACUGCUUUGCUAAAGAUACACAUCUAUGUUUCCUUCAAUUAAAAAUAAUGGCUAGUGCAAUGGUUGCGAUAUAGUAAACCUACCAACAUCCGUCACCAUGACUUAUCGCAAGUGGAAAAAAAAUUAUGUUUUAGUCGCACAACAUCGGUUAAUGGAAACGCAUCAUUUAAUUUUUUUUUUUUUUUAAAAUUUUAAAUUAAUGGAAAUGCAGCUAUAGUGAAAUAUUUUGGGUUUGCCAAGAACAUACACAAGUUCUGUUCGGUUCAGUGGCACUGUUUUAGUUCAGUACCUUAAUAUGGCCGACUUCCGGAUUAAUGACGUGCCAUGAAAACACCCUACAGACGUUUCAACCCUAAACACAAACUACUUUGACAAUAAUAGGUCAAUAUAAUAGACUGCACUUACAUUUUUCCUCUGCUAAUGAAAGCAGCUCCAAACAAAGCCACAGCAGAAUUAAGCAUUGUGUGUUUCCAAGCAACACAAACAAUAGUGAUGUUGCUGUAUGGAUCAUGUUU
Cyprinus carpio carpio is the source of this 2035-nucleotide long non-coding RNA. The record is from Ensembl. Lineage: Eukaryota; Metazoa; Chordata; Actinopteri; Cypriniformes; Cyprinidae.